This is a long non-coding RNA of Myotis daubentonii (Daubenton's bat), 1788 nucleotides long. RefSeq lists it as uncharacterized. Lineage: Eukaryota; Metazoa; Chordata; Mammalia; Chiroptera; Vespertilionidae. The record is from RefSeq and is a predicted model, not a curated record.
CGUGUGGUGUGUGUGUGUGUGAGUGUGUGUGAGUGUGUGUACUAGUUGUACUGUAUGGGCAGGAGGGGAGGGGGGAGGAGGCGGCGGGAGCCGGCUGCGGGAGGAGGGGCGCGCGCCUGCCGGGGGGCCGCUUCGCCGCCGUCUCCGCGCCCUCCCUCCGCAGCUUGACCCGGUAGUGAAGGCGGAGAGAGAGGCAGGCCGGGGCCGCCUGGCAGCCCGCGAGGGGAGGCGGGAGCGGGGAAGGAGGGGAGCCGAGGCCCGGCGCGGGGAGGCCGGCAAGCAGGCAGGCCGGGCGCCCAGGGCGGACCUGGCUUCGGCCUCCCAGCGGCGAGCGGAGCUGGGCUGCGGCGCGGAGAGGGCGCGCCAGAUCCCGCGGGCGCGGGCCGCGCGGGAGCCGCACGGCGAGCCCGGAUGGGAGCGCGUCCCGGGCCCGCGCGCCGCCCGCCCCUGCGCGGGGUCCCGCCCGGGGAGAGCCGCCGGCGGGGCCGGGGCGCGGGGAGCCGGGGAGGCCGGCGGAGGGGCUCGCAGUGCAGAGGUUUCGACUCUUCCGGUUUCCAGCCGGACUCGAGGCACAGUUCUCAGAAUUCCCCCUCGAGGGGCAGAAAGUUCGAGAGCUGCAGGCUGGGCGCCAGAGCGGGGGACGGCAAAGCUGCACCCCUUUCCCGGGACGGGCCUGAGCGCAGGGCGGAAUGGCUGGUGAAAGGCGAUUCCCGGGAGCGAGGGGAAGGGGCUUCAGGUUUCCUUGUUGGAGGAGCGGAAAGGGGCCGCGGGUUGGGGGGCUGGGGAGAGGGGUGCGGUGAGCAGCCUCCUAGGAGAAAUGGACAGUUUAACCCACGCCCUGGAAAGCCCUCCGACUCGGACCUGUAACUUGGGAAGAAACCUUAAGAGGGCCUGGCCCGACCACCUCCUGCUGCAGAGAAGGAGAAGGUUUCGAGGGUGGACACUGCGGCCCAUCGCGGCCGGACCUCAGCUCGCGGGCCGCCACCAGGCUCCUUAACCUCCAGCAGGUCCUCGGCCAGGAGGAGAGCCAUCCCCUGCCACUCUCUGUGGAAGAUUGCCCAAAAGCUCCUGGAUUCGCUUUGCCUUCAGGCACAGACAGCCAGAGAGAACCAUCUGGGAGUUAACUUCCCUCCCAAUGCACCUUUCCCAAGGACUGCCCUCCAGAGCAUAAAAGCCCAGCCCUAUUGCCUCGAAUAACCAAGAAACGGAGGUUCAGGUGUUUUAAACUGCCCAAAGUUACUCUCCCAAUAAAAGGAAGGAGUUUUGAUCUGAUCGAGUAUUGGUCGUAGUAUUGAGAGGUGAUAUCUUGUCCAACGUCUGUGCAACUCAGGAACUUACUCAAACAGCAGUCAGUCAGUCACCUAGCCCUGUGCAAACAAUCUGAGGAAAGCCUCUAGCACAAUGGAAAAGGGAGAUGCCAUCUUGCCUCUAUGAUUCAGCAAGAAUGAAGAUAAAACUUCACUGUGAUCAUGAUGGAGCCAAAUGAAAGAAAGGACCUAGACUCCCUUCCUUCACACUUCUUGUUAUGUGAGGAAAAUCAAAUGCUGUUGUAAGUUUAAGCUACAGAGAUGGGCUUCUACUUCAUGUAACUAAAUAUGUCACAGUUCGCACAAUAUGAAUAAAAUUGGUAAAAGUAUUCAUUUUCAAGGCUUAAUCUGAGAGACGCAUGAUACCUAACAUAUCAAAUCUCCAAAAAAUUAUAGUUCUUUAAUUCAUUGUGAUUUUGAAUUGAUUUUUCACAGUCUUUUAGUUACCAAACUAUUAAAUACAUUUUAACAUUCAAAUCUG